RNAcentral lists this ribosomal RNA (329 nucleotides) under uncultured eukaryote. Its description in RNAcentral is "partial 18S ribosomal RNA". It matches the Rfam family "Eukaryotic small subunit ribosomal RNA", at positions 1470 to 1796 of the family's 1831-position model. The record is from RNAcentral.
CCCUUAGAUGUUCUGGGCCGCACGCGCGCUACACUGAUGCGUUCAACGAGUUUAGAACCUUGACUGAUAGGUCUGGGUAAUCUUUUGAAUGCGCAUCGUGCUAGGGAUAGAUUAUUGCAAUUAUUAAUCUUGAACGAGGAAUUCCUAGUAAACGCAAGUCAUCAGCUUGCAUUGAUUACGUCCCUGCCCUUUGUACACACCGCCCGUCGCUCCUACCGAUUGAAUGAUCCGAUGAAUAUCAUGGAUUGAGGAUGCAAGCAGGUUCGCCUGUCUUCAUCUUCGAGAAGUGAAGUAAAUCUUAUCAUUUAGAGGAAGGAGAAGUCGUAACA